This 878-nucleotide ribosomal RNA is filed under the name uncultured bacterium. RNAcentral's name for it is "bacterial SSU rRNA". It matches the Rfam family "Bacterial small subunit ribosomal RNA", at positions 51 to 924 of the family's 1533-position model. The record is from RNAcentral.
ACACAUGCAGUCGAGGGGCAGCAUCAUCAAAGCUUGCUUUGAUGGAUGGCGACCGGCGCACGGGUGAGUAACACGUAUCCAACCUGCCGACAACACUGGGAUAGCCUUUCGAAAGAAAGAUUAAUACCGGAUGGCAUAAUUAUUCCGCAUGGGAUAAUUAUUAAAGAAUUUCGGUUGUCGAUGGGGAUGCGUUCCAUUAGGCAGUUGGCGGGGUAACGGCCCACCAAACCUACGAUGGAUAGGGGUUCUGAGAGGAAGGUCCCCCACAUUGGAACUGAGACACGGUCCAAACUCCUACGGGAGGCAGCAGUGAGGAAUAUUGGUCAAUGGACGAGAGUCUGAACCAGCCAAGUAGCGUGAAGGAUGACUGCCCUAUGGGUUGUAAACUUCUUUUAUACGGGAAUAAAGUGAGCCACGUGUGGCUUUUUGUAUGUACCGUAUGAAUAAGGAUCGGCUAACUCCGUGCCAGCAGCCGCGGCAAUACGGAGGAUUCGAGCGUUAUCCGGAUUUAUUGGGUUUAAAGGGAGCGUAGGCGGGUUGUUAAGUCAGUUGUGAAAGUUUGCGGCUCAACCGUAAAAUUGCAGUUGAUACUGGCGACCUUGAGUGCAACAGAGGUAGGCGGAAUUCGUGGUGUAGCGGUGAAAUGCUUAGAUAUCACGAAGAACUCCGAUUGCGAAGGCAGCUUACUGGAUUGUAACUGACGCUGAUGCUCGAAAGUGUGGGUAUCAAACAGGAUUAGAUACCCUGGUAGUCCACACAGUAAACGAUGAAUACUCGCUGUUGGCGAUAUACAGUCAGCGGCCAAGCGAAAGCAUUAAGUAUUCCACCUGGGGAGUACGCCGGCACGGUGAAACUCAGAGGAAUUGACGGGGGCCCGC